Molecule: ribosomal RNA, 897 nt
Filed under: uncultured bacterium
Lineage: Bacteria
Description: bacterial SSU rRNA
Rfam family: Bacterial small subunit ribosomal RNA
Source: RNAcentral
AGAGUUUGAUCAUGGCUCAGAAUGAACGUUGGCGGCGUGGAUUAGGCAUGCAAGUCGAACGAAUCCCGGUAGCAAUAUCGGGGGAAGUGGCGAAAGGGGCAGUAAGGCGUGGGUAACCUACCCCGGGGACGGGUCUAGCUUCUCUAACGAGAAGGUAAUCCCCGGCGAUGUAACGAGAACUCCUGUUCUUGUUAUGAAAUGAAUUUCGCCUCGGGAGGGGCUCACGUGGUAUCAGCUUGUUGGUGAGGUAAUGGCUCACCAAGGCUUCAACGCCUAGCCGGUGUGAGAGCACGACCGGCGCCACUGGCACUGAGACACUGGCCAGACUCCUACGGGAGGCUGCAGUCGAGGAUCUUCGGCAAUGGGCGCAAGCCUGACCGAGCGACGCCGCGUGUGCGAUGAAGGCCUUCGGGUUGUAAAGCACUGUCGAGGGGGAGGAAAACCCGCAAGGGUCUGACCUAUCCCUGGAGGAAGCACGGGCUAAGUUCGUGCCAGCAGCCGCGGUAAGACGAACCGUGCGAACGUUGUUCGGAUUCACUGGGCUUAAAGGGCGCGUAGGCGGCGGCUCAAGUCGGGGGUGAAAUCGUUCCGCUUAACGGGACAAUAGCCUCCGAUACUGAGCUGCUCGAGGGAGGUAGGGGUGCGCGGAACUUCCGGUGGAGCGGUGAAAUGCGUAGAUAUCGGAAGGAACGCCGGUGGCGAAAGCGGCGCACUGGAUCUCCACUGACGCUGAGGCGCGAAAGCUAGGGGAGCAAACGGGAUUAGAUACCCCGGUAGUCCUAGCCCUAAACGAUGGGUACUAGGUAGUGGGCUUGCAUGGGCUCACUGCCGAAGCCAAAGUCUUAAGUACCCCGCCUGGGGAGUAUGGUCGCAAGGCUGAACUCAAUGAAUUGACGG